This 252-nucleotide ribosomal RNA is filed under the name uncultured bacterium. RNAcentral's name for it is "partial 16S ribosomal RNA". It matches the Rfam family "Bacterial small subunit ribosomal RNA", at positions 524 to 776 of the family's 1533-position model. The record is from RNAcentral.
UACGGAGGAUGCGAGCGUUAUCCGGAUUUAUUGGGUUUAAAGGGUGCGUAGGCGGUCCGUUAAGUCAGCGGUAAAAUUGCGGGGCUCAACCCCGCCGAGCCGUUGAAACUGGCAGACUUGAGUUGGCGAGAAGUACGCGGAAUGCGCGGUGUAGCGGUGAAAUGCAUAGAUAUCGCGCAGAACUCCGAUUGCGAAGGCAGCGUACCGGCGCCAGACUGACGCUGAGGCACGAAAGCGUGGGGAUCGAACAGG